RNAcentral lists this ribosomal RNA (253 nucleotides) under uncultured bacterium. Its description in RNAcentral is "partial 16S ribosomal RNA". It matches the Rfam family "Bacterial small subunit ribosomal RNA", at positions 524 to 776 of the family's 1533-position model. The record is from RNAcentral.
UACAGAGGGUGCGAGCGUUAAUCGGAGUUACUGGGCGUAAAGGGCGCGUAGGCGGUUAAAUAAGAUUGAUGUGAAAUCCCUGGGCUUAACCUAGGAACAGCAUCGAUGACUGUAUAGCUGGAGUACUGUAGAGGGUAGUAGAAUUUCCGGUGUAGCGGUGAAAUGCGUAGAGAUCGGAAGGAAUACCAGUGGCGAAGGCGGCUACCUGGACAGAUACUGACGCUGAGGCGCGAGAGCGUGGGGAGCAAACAGG